AUAUUUUGCAUAAGGCAUUGUCUGGUAGACCUCUAACAAGAUUGUUCAAAUUAUAGCCCUGGGUUCAAAAUUGGCCCCGCCCCGGGGGUCAUUGAUUUUCACUAUGUACAUAUAGUAAAAACUUAAAAUACCUUCCUGUAAAAACCCAAAAGGCCUAGAGCUUAGAUAUUUUGCAUAAGGCAUCAUCUGGUAGACCCUUACCAAGAUUGUUCAAAUUAUAGCCCUUGGGUCCAAAUCGGCCCCGCCCCGGAGUCAUUGAUUUUCGCUAUAUGUACAUAUAGUAAAAACUUAAAACACCUUCUUGUAAAGACCCAAAAGGCUUAGAGCUUAGAUAUUUUGCAUAAGGCAUUGUCUGGUAGACCUCUACCCAGAUUGUUCAAAUUAUAGCCCUGGGGUCAAAAUCGGCCCGCCCCAGUGGUCAUUGGUUUAUCCUAUAUGUAUAUAGUUAAAACUUAAAAAAUCAUCUUCUCUAAAUUUACAAAGGAUAAAGUUAAGAUAUUUUGCAUGAAACAUUGUGUAGUGAACCUCUAGCAAGAUUGUUAAAAUUAUAGCCCUAGGGUCAAAAUU
Long non-coding RNA from Ruditapes philippinarum (Manila clam), 567 nucleotides. RefSeq lists it as uncharacterized. The record is from RefSeq and is a predicted model, not a curated record. The transcript has 2 exons. NCBI's taxonomy places the organism in Eukaryota, Metazoa, Mollusca, Bivalvia, Venerida, Veneridae.